AUACUGGAUUUCCUGCAGCAA
RNAcentral lists this unclassified non-coding RNA (21 nucleotides) under Mus musculus (house mouse). RNAcentral's name for it is "oocyte_clustered_small_RNA885". Lineage: Eukaryota; Metazoa; Chordata; Mammalia; Rodentia; Muridae. The record is from RNAcentral.